Molecule: transfer RNA, 63 nt
Filed under: Neobacillus niacini
Lineage: Bacteria; Bacillati; Bacillota; Bacilli; Caryophanales; Bacillaceae
Description: tRNA-Arg
Rfam family: tRNA (bases 11-60)
About the family: Transfer RNA (tRNA) molecules are approximately 80 nucleotides in length. Their secondary structure includes four short double-helical elements and three loops (D, anti-codon, and T loops). Further hydrogen bonds mediate the characteristic L-shaped molecular structure. tRNAs have two regions of fundamental functional importance: the anti-codon, which is responsible for specific mRNA codon recognition, and the 3' end, to which the tRNAs corresponding amino acid is attached (by aminoacyl-tRNA synthetases). tRNAs cope with the degeneracy of the genetic code in two manners: having more than one tRNA (with a specific anti-codon) for a particular amino acid; and 'wobble' base-pairing, i.e. permitting non-standard base-pairing at the 3rd anti-codon position.
Source: RNAcentral
AUCUCCGCAGGAUAGAGCAACAGUUUUCUAAACUGUAGGUCGGAGGUUCGAAUCCUCUUCGGG